UUUUUAAGUAUAGCGCCAGAGGUUAUAAACUUUAUAACCUGACGAGGAUGAGGAGUAUCGAAAAUUCGGCGGGUGCCUCACCCUAUGACACUAGGGAAAACGAUUAGCAAAACUAGGAAGUGAUUCUUAGGACAAAUCUAAUCAGGUGUUAACU
RNAcentral lists this non-coding RNA (154 nucleotides) under Clostridium collagenovorans. RNAcentral's name for it is "GlcN6P sequence". It matches the Rfam family "glmS glucosamine-6-phosphate activated ribozyme aptamer". Rfam says of the family: This entry contains a glucosamine-6-phosphate activated ribozyme that is found in the mRNA for GlmS. GlmS is an enzyme that uses fructose-6-phosphate and glutamine to generate glucosamine-6-phosphate. Lineage: Bacteria; Bacillati; Bacillota; Clostridia; Eubacteriales; Clostridiaceae. The record is from RNAcentral. RNAcentral also lists the same sequence under 1 other name.